RNAcentral lists this ribosomal RNA (440 nucleotides) under uncultured bacterium. RNAcentral's name for it is "partial 16S ribosomal RNA". It matches the Rfam family "Bacterial small subunit ribosomal RNA", at positions 338 to 795 of the family's 1533-position model. The record is from RNAcentral.
CCUACGGGGUGCAGCAGUGGGGGAUAUUGCACAAUGGGGUAAACCCUGAUGCAGCGACGCCGCGUGGGUGAAGAAGCGCCUCGGCGCGUAAAGCCCUGUCAGCAGGGAAGAAAAUGACGGUACCUGAAGAAGAAGCCCCGGCUAACUACGUGCCAGCAGCCGCGGGAAUUAGUAGGGGGCAAGCGUUAUCCGGAUUUACGGGGGGGAAAGGGGGCGCAGACGGCGAUGCAAGCCAGGAGUGAAAGCCCCGGGCCCAACCCCGGGACUGCUCUGGGAACUGCGUGGCUAGAGUGCAGGAGGGGCAGGCGGAAUGCCUGGUGUAGCGGUGAAAUGCGUAGAUAUCAGGAGGAACACCGGUGGCGAAGGCGGCCUGCUGGACUGCAACUGACGCUCAGGCACGAAAGCGUGGGUAUCGAACAGGAUUAGAUACCCGAGUAGUC